This 274-nucleotide long non-coding RNA is filed under the name Solanum tuberosum (potato). RNAcentral's name for it is "long non-coding RNA (STUB_LNC003490)". The record is from RNAcentral. Lineage: Eukaryota; Viridiplantae; Streptophyta; Magnoliopsida; Solanales; Solanaceae.
CUCAUUUUCGUCUUCGUCUUCUUCUUGACCUACUGAAUCAUCACUAUCAAAAAAUUCUUCCUCUUCACUUGUUGCCUCCUCUUCCUCAUCUUCUUUUUCACUUGUUGUCUCAUCAUCACCUUCCUCUUCUUGACUUGAUAUCUCCUUAUCAUCCUCUUCAAUUAAAUCAUGUCCAUCUUCAAUGCCAAUGACUUGUAAACUAAUUCAAUCAACCUCUUCACCAUCAGCUUGUUCAUCCCGUAAACCAUCGAUUGGGUCAUCCUCUAUAUUUGCA